CCGCUACACGCCGGGGCUGGAAACCGGGAGCUGCCGGCCCCAGCCCCGGAAUCGCCCCAGGCUGGAAGGGGCCGCCUGGGCGCUGAGAGGGAAAAUGGGGGUCCGGGAGCUCACAGACACUCCGCGAAAGCGUCCCACCAGGGCUAAGGCGAGCUCCUUCACGGGCACCUCGGUGCGAUUCUGGCCGUAGGUUCCUGUACAGCCUCCUGCCCAAAAAGGGGGUACACCGGGGUGGUCAGGGCUUUAUCCUGCAGACCUCUACGGAUGGAGCCGGCGCAUCCUCUCCAGACAGCCUGCUGACUGCCGGGCUGUGCUCGUGGGGAAAACGUUACUCCGUGUAUCUGCUCUGAACCUCCCUGGUCCCAGCUCUCAUCCUUCCACUACGUGCCUGGUUUCAUCCUCUCGCCAUGACCACCUUGCAGGCAUUGGAGGGCUCCUUCUCCUUAUCCUCAGCCGAAACUGGCUGCAGGGUCAGCACCUUUCUUCCCAAAUCCCUGAACUCUGUUUUCUCCCCACACAGGAGCUGCUGGUGGGUUUACCCCAUGGGAUGGCCAUACACUGUGGUGAGCCAUACCAGUCACAUGUGAAGAGCGACCCCCUGCAAAAAGGAACUGACUCUGCUAAAUGGCACCACUUACUCACUCUGAGCCUCAGCAGGAGAGGAAAUGUCUGCAAGACUAUGACUUGUCCCAUUUUCUCUCCUCCAAAAGAAGGAAGUGAGAAUCACCUUUUAUUGAGAAGUGCUCAGCACCAAUAAAACCCCAGGGGUGAUUCAGGUUUUUGUGUGCUCAGCACCCAGUGUGUGUUGAGCUGUUCAGCCGUGUUGCUGGCUGGGUUUUGUUCGAGAAGUUUCUGCAGCAGAUCAGGUGUUUUGCAAUGGGAUUUGCAAGGUUGCACCAAGCUCUCUCCAUGCUUCUCUGAAGCCUGUGCUAUAAAGCUAGAUUUAGCUUUGCUAUGUGGUGGGUUAGCUGCUAACUCCUCUUAAAACUCCCAUUGAGGGUGUAAUAUAUGGGCACAAGAACACACCAAAGUGUGUGCCAAGGAUGCUCUCUGCUGCAGGGUGUCCUCUUCUGCUCCAUACUGAGAACAUCAUGAUGACAUGGUCUUGAGAGUAUGAAAAUAAAUUCUGGCUCCAGUGACUUAUUAGUAUCUCAACCAAACCCUUGGUGUCAAGAUGUUUGUGAGAUGGGGUAGUUUUAUCAAAAUGUUCCCAAAUGUUGAUGAAACCUCUAAGAAACCUUAGGCUGGAAGAGGGUCCUUAAGCUGAGUGCUCUCAUCGGUGAGGUUUAUCAAUUAAACAUUUCCUUACCCUAAUAUGUUAUUUGUAUCUCAUCUGUUUUAUUGCCUGGCAAUUUCAUGAUGUGCUUAAAUCUGCCCAAAGUCAGGGAAGAGGUCGUCCUGUGCUCCCUUUCUGUCCCUGGCACAUGUUCCCUCUCCUGUCCUUUGUGUCACUUGCAGCAACAUGAAUCUGAAGACUUAUCUUUAAUUGCUUUUUCGUUGCAGAGUGAAUUUCUAGUUGGAUCAGGAGCUGGCAAGAGUGUAUGGCCAAGGUGCAGGAGAGAGCAGGGCAGCCCCUUCCAGCAUCAGUUCAGGCAUACGCAUUCACUCUGAACAUCACUAUGGACCCAUAGAAACCUGAUUUAUCUCAGUCUGGGCAAGCACAUGUUCAUCUUAUUCUGAAAGAGCUUUCAGGUUUGAGUUUCCACAGCCAGUGGCUGAAGGAUCAGAGCUUGCUCUUGCAUGUAACUUCUACUAGUUUGCUUGACUGCCAUUUUUGGGGGAGGGGGGUGGUGGUGGUGGUAUUACUUUUUCCUGGAGCUCAGCCACUGUUUACAGAAGGUCAGAGGGCGCCUUCUGACAAUCCCCUAGUAGUCAUGCUGUUGCCUUGUCAGUCUGCUUACAAAAGGAAGAUAACACCUCUGCCUGGAAACCUUGUCUGGCCUAGUGAUAACGAAAUCCUUGCUGCUUAACACAAAAUAAGGGUACUGUGACCUUUGAAGCCUGGCUCACAUCGGGAAAGGGCAUUUCCAAAGAAGAAGCUGAAACAAAAGCCCCAGAGCAGAUAAAGAACAGAGAACCAGUAUCUCCUCAGAAGUCAGAGGACUUCAUUGCGAUGUCAGGGUCACUAGGGUCAGCCAAGCCCUUUAGCUGGACCUCUGGAAGAUCCACCUCUAGGAAAUGGCACUGCUGCAUCCUGGCAGCCUGCAAGGAUGAGACAUGCUUCUCUGUCUUGGCAGCUCUGGACAUAGCGGGUCUCAUUUGAAGGGUGUGUUGUGGAAUGAGAGAUGGUAUGUGACACAGGGCAAGACCCUCCUAGUGUAAAACCUCAAGAGGGAGAAAGACCAGGUCCACCUUGGACUGCUUGGUGUGGACACCUGUAGGAAGAAACACCACCACUACAUGAUGGUCCUUGAGUGCAGCAAGAGAAAAAUUUGACCUGCUGGUUGGGAGGCUGCCAUCAGACCAGCUGUUCAAAGCAAGCUAGGAAAAGAAUACAGGGAAAACCAGAUCCUUUUACUAGAAAUCAUUACAAAUUCCACAGAUCUUUUGACUGCCUCAGGCAGCAUCAGGGAAACCAAGUAAGAGCAAACCUGUUCGCUUUCUAAGCUUUAUGGCGAAAUAGGAGCAGCUCAAACCUGAUAAUCCUCAUUUUUAAGGAAAAACAGUUUCCAAAUCUCUCAGGGUUAAUUAACUCUAAUUUGCAGAUGUGGUAGCAAAGACAGAACAUGGCUCUGAACCUUGUCCAACUAAAGGAGCACAGAGAGAGAUCAGCUGCAGCUGAAUGAAAAAAUUACAACCUGAGGGGAAGCAGCUGUUAGAUAAGUUUUAAAGGGCAUCUGCAGCAUGGCUUGAUGGAGGGAAUGGGAAAUAGGGGGUUUGGAUUGGUGGUAGAUUAUUUGAGGGGUGUUGGGUCAGGCCAGCUUCCAGAAGUGGUGGAUUUGACCCAGUGUGUUAAGCCAGGAACUGACAUUUUCUGUUCUUUACAAAGUGGUUUCUUACAUUUUUCUCUUUUCUAUGGGCUCAGCCAUGCUUUUGUUCUGUAGCUGGCUGGAUCACAGUGCCCAGGGUUAAGAGCUAGCUCCUACGCCUCUCUGCCCUUCCCUGGGGAAAGACAAGAGGGGUUUUGUUUCUUCUCUAACAUUCACCAUGGCAAGCAGAGCUCAGCAGAAUGACGGAGGUAACAAGCCUCCCACAGUGACUUUUAAUUUUAAGAAGAUAGUAAGAAGAAGAGAAAUGUGCAUUACCCUGUCUGGUACACACUGGCAAAGUAGAUCAGAACAGAUCCAC
Long non-coding RNA from Pezoporus occidentalis (night parrot), 3288 nucleotides. RefSeq lists it as uncharacterized. The record is from RefSeq and is a predicted model, not a curated record. The transcript is spliced from 3 exons. Lineage: Eukaryota; Metazoa; Chordata; Aves; Psittaciformes; Psittacidae.